Molecule: long non-coding RNA, 345 nt
Filed under: Physcomitrium patens
Lineage: Eukaryota; Viridiplantae; Streptophyta; Bryopsida; Funariales; Funariaceae
Description: long non-coding RNA (PPAT_LNC011889)
Source: RNAcentral
UGUAAUCAAAUCAAGAAGAAUGUCUUCCAUUGUACAAUACUUCAUAUCAAUCACUUCCAUUUUGAUCUUCUUUCUUAUGAAGUAAUGUUAAAUGUCAAUGUGCUUGAUCUUUGAGUGAUGCUUUAGAUUCUUUUUAAAUACAAGAUAUCUUUAAUUUUCACAUCUUAUUAGAGUUACUUCCAUUUGUACUAUUCUAAUACCCUCCAAAAGUUAUCUUGGCCAUAUUACCUCUAUUAUACCAUGACUUGCUGCCAUGUAUUUUGCUUCUAUUGUUGACCUUGUAAUUAUGAGUUGUUUCUUUCAAUUCUAUAAAAUUGCUCCUAUUCCAAUAAAAAAAUACAUAUU